This 492-nucleotide ribosomal RNA is filed under the name uncultured bacterium. RNAcentral describes it as "partial 16S ribosomal RNA". It matches the Rfam family "Bacterial small subunit ribosomal RNA", at positions 29 to 507 of the family's 1533-position model. The record is from RNAcentral.
AGUGAACGCUGGCGGUAGGCCUAACACAUGCAAGUCGAACGGCAGCACAGUAAGAGCUUGCUCUUACGGGUGGCGAGUGGCGGACGGGUGAGGAAUACAUCGGAAUCUACUUUUUCGUGGGGGAUAACGUAGGGAAACUUACGCUAAUACCGCAUACGACCUACGGGUGAAAGCAGGGGAUCUUCGGACCUUGCGCGAUUGAAUGAGCCGAUGUCGGAUUAGCUAGUUGGCGGGGUAAAGGCCCACCAAGGCGACGAUCCGUAGCUGGUCUGAGAGGAUGAUCAGCCACACUGGAACUGAGACACGGUCCAGACUCCUAAGGGAGGCAGCAGUGGGGAAUAUUGGACAAUGGGCGCAAGCCUGAUCCAGCCAUACCGCGUGGGUGAAGAAGGCCUUCGGGUUGUAAAGCCCUUUUGUUGGGAAAGAAAAGCAGCAGGUUAAUACCCCGCCGUUCUGACGGUACCCAAAGAAUAAGCACCGGCUAACUUCGUG